GAGGGUAUAGCUCAAGUGGUAGAAUGCACACUUAGUAUGCAUGAGGUCCUGGAUUCAAUCCCCAGUACCUUCA
Molecule: transfer RNA, 73 nt
Filed under: Camelus bactrianus (Bactrian camel)
Lineage: Eukaryota; Metazoa; Chordata; Mammalia; Artiodactyla; Camelidae
Also listed under: 1 other name
Rfam family: tRNA
About the family: Transfer RNA (tRNA) molecules are approximately 80 nucleotides in length. Their secondary structure includes four short double-helical elements and three loops (D, anti-codon, and T loops). Further hydrogen bonds mediate the characteristic L-shaped molecular structure. tRNAs have two regions of fundamental functional importance: the anti-codon, which is responsible for specific mRNA codon recognition, and the 3' end, to which the tRNAs corresponding amino acid is attached (by aminoacyl-tRNA synthetases). tRNAs cope with the degeneracy of the genetic code in two manners: having more than one tRNA (with a specific anti-codon) for a particular amino acid; and 'wobble' base-pairing, i.e. permitting non-standard base-pairing at the 3rd anti-codon position.
Source: Rfam by way of RNAcentral